CCUACGGGUGGCUGCAGUGAGGAAUAUUGCGCAAUGGAGGAAACUCUGACGCAGCCAUGCCGCGUGAAGGAUUGAAGGUCCUAUGGAUUGUAAACUUCUUUUAUAUGGGAAUAAACCUCCGAACGUGUUCGGAGCUGAAGGUACCAUAAGAAUAAGCACCGGCUAACUCCGUGCCAGCAGCCGCGGUAAUACGGAGGGUGCAAGCGUUAUCCGGAUUUAUUGGGUUUAAAGGGUCCGUAGGCGGACCGUUAAGUCAGUGGUGAAAGCUCGCAGCU
Molecule: ribosomal RNA, 275 nt
Filed under: uncultured bacterium
Lineage: Bacteria
Description: partial 16S ribosomal RNA
Rfam family: Bacterial small subunit ribosomal RNA
Source: RNAcentral